RNAcentral lists this ribosomal RNA (439 nucleotides) under uncultured bacterium. Its description in RNAcentral is "partial 16S ribosomal RNA". It matches the Rfam family "Bacterial small subunit ribosomal RNA", at positions 339 to 795 of the family's 1533-position model. The record is from RNAcentral.
CUACGGGUCGCUCCAGUGGGGAAUAUUGCACAAUGGAGGAAACUCUGAUGCAGCAACGCCGCGUGGAGGAUGACACUUUUCGGAGCGUAAACUCCUUUUAUAUAGGAAGAAGAUGACGGUACUAUAUGAAUAAGCGCCGGCUAACUCCGUGCCAGCAGCCUCGGUAAUACGGAGGGCGCAAGCGUUACUCGGAAUCACUGGGCGUAAAGAGCGUGUAGGCGGAUUAAAAAGUCAGAAGUGAAAUCCUAUAGCUUAACUAUAGAACUGCUUCUGAAACUCUUAAUCUAGAAUAUGGGAGGGGUAGAUGGAAUUUCUGGUGUAGGGGUAAAAUCCGUAGAGAUCAGAAGGAAUACCGAUUGCGAAGGCGAUCUACUAGAACAUUAUUGACGCUGAGACGCGAAAGCGUGGGGAGCAAACAGGAUUAGAUACCCCGGUAGUC